RNAcentral lists this long non-coding RNA (2148 nucleotides) under Homo sapiens (human). RNAcentral describes it as "HSALNT0007240". The record is from RNAcentral. Lineage: Eukaryota; Metazoa; Chordata; Mammalia; Primates; Hominidae.
CUUGAGAGGGCCCUCCCAUGUUGGUCCUUCUUGCUCCCUAGUGCAAGACUUCCUUUGCCCACAACGACACUGCCUCCCAUGUACAGAACAGUGCUAUCGCUAUGACUCAUUUCUGCAUCUUGAUUGCUGAGAUCACUGAUCAGGUUUGUGACAAAACAGCAUCAAAUCUGAAGAGUUGUGUCCUCCCCGCACCACCCCCCUCGCCCCCACCAUUAUUUGCUCACCUUGAAGGUAAUCCAGGAUAGGAGUCCCUCUGAAGCAAACAGAACAUCCAUCAAAGACCCGAAAGAACAUAAGGUAAUUGGCCGGGUGCGGUGGGUCAUGCCUGUAAUCCCAGCACUUUGGGAGGCCGAGGCGGGUGGAUCACAAGGUCAGGAGUUCGAGACCAGCUUGGCUAACAUGGUGAAACCCCGUCUCUACUAAAAAUACAAAAAUUAACUGGGCAUGGAGGCGUGCGCCUGUGAUCCCAGCUACUCAGGAGGCUGAGGCAGGAGAGUCGCUGGAACCCAGGAGGUGGAGGUUGCAGUGAGCCGAGAUUGCGCCAUUGCACUCCAGCCUGGGUGACAGGGCAAGACUCCAUCUCAAAAAAAAAAGGAAAGAAGAAAAGGAAUAUAAAGUAAUUUAUUCCAGCUUGUUUUCUGUUUAUUUCAUUGUUCCAAGCAUGAUUCCCUCCAUUCCAUCUGCAAGUUGAAUUCCAGAUCAUCUUCCCAAUCAUCCUCCCUGAAGGGCAUUUCUGAGAAUGUCAUUCAAACUACUUCCAUGGUUUUUCUGUGGGCCUUUGCUUAUUGCUGUUUCCUUGCCCUUGAAUGGCCUUCCCCGGGGUUUUUGUGUUACUACCCAUUCCUCUAGGCUCAGUUCUAAUUCCACCUCCUCCACCAUAAAGCCUUCUUGGAGGAAAUUAAGUGUAAAAGCCCAUGCUCUAGAACUGGGAUUACCUGGAGAUUGUCAUUAUUAUUAUAAUUAUUAUAUACAUGUUCAUGGUGAUGAUGGUGGUGGAGGUGAAUUCCAAGUUAUUCACUUGCUAGCUAUACAACUUAGAGGUAUUUGCUUAAUCAUUGUCUCAGUUGCCAUAUCUGUAAAGUGGGAAUAAUAUUUAUGUCUAUUUCAUAGAACUUUUGAGAAUACUUACUGAGUUAAAAGAUGUGAAGUAGUUAGAUUAGUUAAGUGUUCAAUAUCAUCUUCUCUAUAAAAUCAAGUUGAUUUGGACUUCUAUAAUAAUUCUUACAGCCUUCAUGCAUUUCUUAAAUAAAUACUUGUCAAGGUUAUAUGUGCUAGGCACUCUGUGAGGAAGAUAAUCACAGUGUAGGAUGCCGUGUUUAUAGUAUUGUAUGUUUGACUCCUGUCCUUGUUCUCAGGCCGCAAAUCCUAUCUAUGAAGAUAGGCACUUCCAUUCAUUCUGAAGUCCUCACAUAGUAGUUAUUCAGUGAAUGUACCCUGGGAUCCACUUUUCACCUUUCCCCUUACCUGCUUUGUGCUUCAAGAAACUGACUUCAACAGACAGCAUCAUCUGGGCUUCUUUACCCUGUAGUGUUCAGCUGAGUUCAGCCAAUGGAAGACACUAGUAGAAGACUGGAAGGAUAGAGGAGAGAAAGAUUGGAAUAUUUAUUCCCAUCUCAUACUACAGUUUUUGUAGUGAUGGUUCUUCCUAUUGGACAGCUUCCACCUAUAACUACAGUUCUCUCCUGGUUCCAGAAACUGCUUUCUCCACUUCUGACCUAGGAGUAGCCACAGCUCCCAGCUGUUGUUAGACCCCAGGUGUAUUUUGUCAUCUCUUGUUACUUCCCUUAACCCUGCCACAGCUCUGAAAAUAGUCCAGUAAUUAAAUACUUUUUGAGCUAUUUCUUUGAGUAUACCACCUGUUUGUUUCGUGCCUGGACCCUGAGUGAUACAGUAUAAUAAAUAAUGUUCAAUACAAUAUACAAUGUAAAAUACAAUAGAUAAUACAAUUCCUAAAAACAAAAAGGAAGAAAGGAAAUAAAGAAUAAAAAAAGAAACAAAGAAGGAAAACCGGAUUUCUACCACCAAAAUGAAAUUAUUAUUACAAUUAUAGUGUAUUUACUUUUAGCUUUUUAAAUGCAAUUUUUAUGUAGUCAUUACUGUGGUAUAUAUGUAUUUAUGCUUAUUAAGUAGUUAUUUUUAACAUUGCCU